CAGCCGCCGCGGUAAAACCAGCACCUCAAGUGGUCAGGAUGAUUAUUGGGCCUAAAGCAUCCGUAGCCUGCUUUGUAAGUUUUCGGUUAAAUCCAUACGCUCAACGUAUGGGCUGCCGGGAAUACUGCACAGCUAGGGAGUGGGAGAGGUAGACGGUACUCGGUAGGAAGGGGUAAAAUCCUUUGAUCUAUUGAUGACCACCUGUGGCGAAGGCGGUCUACCAGAACACGUCCGACGGUGAGGGAUGAAAGCUGGGGGAGCAAACCGGAUUAGAUACCCGGGUAGUCCCAGCUGUAAACUAUGCAAACUCAGUGAUGCAUUGGCUUGUGGCCAAUGCAGUGCUGCAGGGAAGCCGUUAAGUUUGCCGCCUGGGAAGUACGUACGCAAGUAUGAAACUUAAAGGAAUUGGCGGGGGAGCAC
This 420-nucleotide ribosomal RNA is filed under the name uncultured Nitrososphaerota archaeon. Its description in RNAcentral is "bacterial SSU rRNA". It matches the Rfam family "Archaeal small subunit ribosomal RNA", at positions 459 to 879 of the family's 1478-position model. The record is from RNAcentral. Lineage: Archaea; Thermoproteati; Nitrososphaerota.